Molecule: long non-coding RNA, 1460 nt
Organism: Tyto alba (common barn owl)
Lineage: Eukaryota; Metazoa; Chordata; Aves; Strigiformes; Tytonidae
Exons: 5
Source: RefSeq, a predicted model, not a curated record
CCACCAGCCCUGGAGGUGCCACCAGCCCUGGAGAUGCCACCAGCCCCGGAGGUGCCACCAGCCCUGGAGGUGCCACCAGCCCCUGGAGGUGCCACCAGCCCUGGAGGUGCCACCAGCCCCGGAGAUGCCACCAGCCCUGGAGGUGCCACCAGCCCUGGAGGUGCCACCAGCCCCCGGAGAUGCCACCAGCCCUGGAGGUGCCACCAGCCCCGGAGGUGCCACCAGCCCUGGAGGUGCCACCAGCCCUGGAGAUGCCACCAGCCCCCGGAGAUGCCACCAGCUCUGGAGGUGCCACCAGCCCUGGAGAUGCCACCAACUCCCAGAGGUGCCACCAGCCCCCAGAGGUGUCACCAGUCCCCGGAGGUGCCACCAACCCCCGGAGGUGCCACCAGCCCCUGGAGAUGCCACCAGCCCCUGAAGGUGCCAACAACCCCCGGAGGUGCCAACAACCCCUGGAGGUGCCACCAGCCCCCGGAGUUGCCACCAGCCCUGGAGGUGCCACCAGCCCUGGAGAUGCCACCAGCUCUUCCCCCCUUCCUCGCGGCAUGGGGCAGCUCCCUCAGGGACCCCCAUGGGUGCCCCCCGCCUGCCGGUGGGGCUGUCCCCCCCCUGCCCCAUCCCCUUCCCCCCCUCACCUAAUGCUCUGCUAACACGAGCCAGAGACCCCCAGCCCCACCGCAGGACCCGAUCCUGCCGGGAGAUGCUGUCCCCGAGGGGUGGGGGGGACACACGGCCACCGCCAGCCCCCGGGGACAUUGCUCCGCGCCGGCCGGGAGCCCUCUCGCCGCCUGCUGCCGCCCCGGGGCUGAGACCCGACCCGCUCGCUGCACGUGUGGGCUGGGGAGCGGGAGGCUCUGACCCCUCAUGGGACACCCCCCCCCUCCCAUCUCUGGGUACAGGACCCCCCUCCCCAGCCUCUCUCCCCCCUGCACGCCCCCGCUGUCCCCAUGGCCCACAGCACCCAAAACACCGGGGGCCACGGGGGCACCCCCACACCCAGGGUCAUCGCACACUCGACAGGGGAAACUGAGGCAGGAGAAACCCCUGAGCCCCUCCCGAGUCAGGCCCGCCUCCCUGCACUGACCCCCCUCCCCACCCCGGGCUGGGGGGGGGGAACACACCAGGGUGUCACCGAUAAUCGGACACGGCUGCGGCGCCGCGUCCCCCCGGGCCGGGGGCCCCCCCGGCCCCGUCGCUGCUGCUAACGUAGAGCUCUGCUAUUAACGCGCGGCCCCGGCCGCCCCCCCUCGCUGCGCUGAGGCCAGGAGAUACAUAUACAUACGUAUAUAUAUAUAUAUAGUGCGACUAAUCUAUAUAUAUAUAACGGGGAAGGAAGGUUCCCCCCCCGCAAAGACUGGCUCGCCGAAGCCCCGCUGCUGCCGGGGCACCCCGGGGCUUCCUCCUCGAUUUGGGGGGAGAAAAGGCGAAGCAGUUACUAAAUAAAGGUUCUGUUGAUGGUG